This 301-nucleotide ribosomal RNA is filed under the name uncultured bacterium. Its description in RNAcentral is "partial 16S ribosomal RNA". It matches the Rfam family "Bacterial small subunit ribosomal RNA", at positions 509 to 809 of the family's 1533-position model. The record is from RNAcentral.
CAGUAGCCGCGGGAAUACAGAGGGUGCGAGCGUUAAUCGGAUUUACUGGGCGUAAAGCGUGCGUAGGCGGCUUCUUAAGUCGGAUGUGAAAUCCCUGAGCUUAACUUAGGAAUUGCAUUCGAUACUGGGAAGCUAGAGUAUGGGAGAGGAUGGUAGAAUUCCAGGUGUAGCGGUGAAAUGCGUAGAGAUCUGGAGGAAUACCGAUGGCGAAGGCAGCCAUCUGGCCUAAUACUGACGCUGAGGUACGAAAGCAUGGGGAGCAAACAGGAUUAGAUACCCCGGUAGUUUCUGUCUCUUAUAA